Molecule: ribosomal RNA, 497 nt
Filed under: uncultured bacterium
Lineage: Bacteria
Description: partial 16S ribosomal RNA
Rfam family: Bacterial small subunit ribosomal RNA
Source: RNAcentral
GAUGAACGCUGGCGGCGUGCCUAAUACAUGCAAGUCGAGCGAACGGACGAGAAGCUUGCUUCUCUGAUGUUAGCGGCGGACGGGUGAGUAACACGUGGAUAACCUACCUAUAAGACUGGGAUAACUUCGGGAAACCGUAGCUAAUACCGGAUAAUAUUUUGAACCGCAUGGUUCAAAAGUGAAAGACGGUCUUGCUGUCACUUAUAGAUGGAUCCGCGCUGCAUUAGCUAGUCGGUAAGGUAACGGCUUACCAAGGCAACGAUGCAUAGCCGACCUGAGAGGGUGAUCGGCCACACUGGAACUGAGACACGGUCCAGACUCCUACGGGAGGCAGCAGUAGGGAAUCUUCCGCAAAGGGCGAAAGCCUGACGGAGCAACGCCGCGUGAGUGAUGAAGGUCUUCGGAUCGUAAAACUCUGUUAUUAGGGAAGAACAUAUGUGUAAGUAACUGUGCACAUCUUGACGGUACCUAAUCAGAAAGCCACGGCUAACUACGUG